Carica papaya (papaya) is the source of this 72-nucleotide non-coding RNA. NCBI's taxonomy places the organism in Eukaryota, Viridiplantae, Streptophyta, Magnoliopsida, Brassicales, Caricaceae. The record is from the annotation of a RefSeq genome assembly.
GGGUUCAUACCUCAAUGGUAGAGCAUUUAACUGCAAAUCAAAAGGUUACUAGUUCGAUUCUGGUUGGAUCCU